Molecule: unclassified non-coding RNA, 1496 nt
Filed under: Hevea brasiliensis (rubber tree)
Lineage: Eukaryota; Viridiplantae; Streptophyta; Magnoliopsida; Malpighiales; Euphorbiaceae
Source: RNAcentral
UUAAACUAGCAUAAAAAAGAUUACAUAAUUAGUUUGCUCCAAAAAAUUACAAGUAAAAGAGUCACAUUGAAGCAUACACUAAGCUAAAAAGUGAGCUGCUUGAUAACAUUCUCUGUUAGCAAACCUAAACUUAACAGUUUGAAAAGAUCUAGAAAAAAAGGAAAUAUUAUGGAAGAUUUCCGAAACUAUAAUAGGAAUAGCACCUCCAAUAGCAUAAGAAAUAAUGUUCUGAGCAUCUCCCUCAAAGAAGACAUCCUAGAAACCUUUGUUCUUAGCUAAUAAUCUACCUUAAUUCAAGAACUAUGAUAAGUAAAAUAAUGCUAGAUUAAGCAGACAGUUACGAUCAAUAUGUUGGUAAGAGUAAUUAAGUUGAAUAUUAAUGUUCUAUCAACAUAAUUAUAAUUUUAUGCUUUGAGAUUUGGAUUAAUCCUUCUAUCAUCAACUAUAUACAGAGGCAUUUUGAUAAGCAGCGAACAUUGGGGUGGAUGGUUGCUUGCAAACUAAAAUGUUGAUGAGAGAAUUAUCAUUUGUGUUUGAGCUUUUUCGUUCUCUAAUCCCUUUUCUAUCAAACAUCCUGAUUGCCAUAAAUGAAAGAACAAUUUGUUUAGGACAUGGUCCAAUCAAGAGAUCAUGAAGAGCAUUCUAAAGAAAGCAUUCUUUAGUAUAUAAACAUACCAUCAAAAAGAAAUGAAAUUAGUGCCAUUCAAAUUCCUCCAAAUGUUGUUGAGCCCACACCUUCCCAUAUUUCACCGGUUCCUACUUCUUCAGUGUCAACUCCUUCCAUGUCACAGUCCCACCAACCACAACCAUUUGCAUAGUGAUUAUAGAAAGGUCUUGGUUUUUUGUUGCUAAUGAACUUCUUCAGCCUUGUUCUUUGCUUGGGUUCUGAAUCACCUCCCAGAACUAAUGAAUGCUUUCGAAUAGCAUGUUUUUCAUCUCCAUCUUCAAAGGGAUUCCUCCUUUUUCUUGUUACUUGAUCAUUAUUUGAGUUAGAAGUUCCUAAAUCACCAGCAUGAAAUGAACCUAUGCCCAAUUGUGUGCCGGAAGUUCCUAUUUCACCACCAUUGCCGCCAACACCACAUGAAUUUAUACCAUCUCCUUUCUCUGCACUGGCAUGCUUAAACUGCUCAAAAACCACUUCAUCAAUUACAGAAUUCCUUUCUUUCCCUUCUUUUCUUAUCCCAAUCGAAUGAUCAAAAGCCCCACCAUCAUCUCUAGGACCCAGAGGUGACAUAAAAGGCCUCAACUUCCCCUUAACGAUUUUGGGUCGUACGGGAUCUGUGUGCAGCUUACGGUCAAGGAAAUCAGAGAGUGAAAUGCUUAAAUCCUUGUUUGAUACUUUCUUUUGCGAAUCAUCCUUCGAAUUCUUAGCAAGAUUUGAAGAUCGAGAGGUGAAUGAGGAAGGAAUAGAGCGCUGACCCAAAACCCUAAUUUGAUUAUGCUUUGAAUUCAUUUGAAUUUGUUUGGCCUUUCUCUCCUCUUCAGUUUUGGUUGCG